AUUGAACGCUGGCGGCAGGCCUAACACAUGCAAGUCGAACGGUAACAGGAAGAAGCUUGCUUCUUUGCUGACGAGUGGCGGACGGGUGAGUCAUGUCUGGGAAACUGCCUGAUGGAGGGGGAUAACUACUGGAAACGGUAGCUAAUACCGCAUAACGUCGCAAGCCCAAAGAGGGGGACCUUCGUGCCUCUUGCCAUCGGAUGUGCCCAGAUGGGAUUAGCUAGUAGGUGGGGUAACGGCUCACCUAGGCGACGAUCCCUAGCUGGUCUGAGAGGAUGACCAGCCACACUGGAACUGAGACACGGUCCAGACUCCUACGGGAGGCAGCAGUGGGGAAUAUUGCACAAUGGGCGCAAGCCUGAUGCAGCCAUGCCGCGUGUAUGAAGAAGGCCUUCGGGUUGUAAAGUACUUUCAGCGGGGAGGAAGGGAGUAAAGUUAAUACCUUUGCUCAUUGACGUUACCCGCAGAAGAAGCACCGGCUAACUCCGUG
Molecule: ribosomal RNA, 490 nt
Filed under: uncultured bacterium
Lineage: Bacteria
Description: partial 16S ribosomal RNA
Rfam family: Bacterial small subunit ribosomal RNA
Source: RNAcentral